Molecule: long non-coding RNA, 3454 nt
Organism: Cavia porcellus (domestic guinea pig)
Lineage: Eukaryota; Metazoa; Chordata; Mammalia; Rodentia; Caviidae
Exons: 4
Source: RefSeq, a predicted model, not a curated record
AUGAUGGAAUUACAAGACACAGCCUUUUGGAAGUGGAUAGGCCACAAGGGAAUGGGAUUCAUGUCCUUGUGAAAGAGCCCAAGAGGCCUCUGCCACCACGUGAAAAUGGGCUCUUAUCAGACAAGAAUGCCAACACCGUGCCUUGAACUUCCAGCCUUCAGAACAUUGAGAAAUCAGUGUUCACGCUAUUGAUAUAAAUUUGAUCUACAUGUGAAAGCUCCACCCUGUAAAAGAUCCAGAUGAGAAAUGACUGUGUCAGACUCAAAUGAGCAAAGAUACAUCACUUGCCAAGAACUCCCCUCGACCCUUCCACAGGAGCAGCUGUUACACUGAUACCUACUUGGUGGGGCUGCAGGUGUGCAAAGCCUUCAAGUGUGGCUUCCAGGUUGCAAUGGAAACGGAUUUCUCAUCUGCUGCAUAACUGCGCCAAACACACUGCAUGUGGCAUAGACGAGGUCGGAAAAAGAGACGUGCCUUGGAUCCACCGUGAAUUGGUCUAGCCUCUCCAGGACGAGACCUGUGACAUGAAGCUUCAGAAGAAUCUUUAAGGACUAAUCCCAAGGUUCCAUAAUGCAGAAAGGGGAAUGCAGCACUGCUUUUGAAAGGAGUAAAGAUUUGGAUUUGAACAGAUGGGAUUCUAAUCUAUCCCCACCUAGACUUGUCUUGAGGAUCAAGUGACAUAAUGCAUUGGACGCACUCGGCAAACUGCAAAGUACUUCAUGAGUCUUAGGUGUUAUUAAUGAAAGUUGUGACAUUUGGGCAGGCAUUCAAAAAUGUUACCGAAAGCUGAUUUCGUUUCUCAGACUGCUCCACUUGAAAUGAAAAGUUAAUUUCAAUGAAUCAUGUGAAGAUAUUGACAGAGCUAAAUGUGCUGCAAACUGCCAGGGGUUUAAACUUGUCACCAAAACCUUAAAAUGCUAGUUAAUUUAGUUCUUUCACCAACCAAAGAACAAAGCAAUCUGGGCAUCUCUCUUGCCCUUAUAAGCAGAUAGUGUCUUUGGUUUAAAACAAAUGAGAUCACUUUUGCUCUUGAUGCCUUUUAUGCUCAGCAAACCAAGUCAAGUUUAUCAGGUAGGAAUAUGAAUGGAUCAGCAUAUGAGAUAUGAUUUUUCAAUAGAGUGUACCCUUAAAAAUAACUUUCUAAAAUCUAUAAUUAAGGCCCAAAGCUCUGAAUCUUGCCCAAAGACUGUAUCAAGAAUAGUGAGCAAAACAUUGUCACAUUAUUAUUCUUAUGCAUGAUAAAUUGAUGGCAUUGAAUGAGGAAACAGUCGCUUUUUAAAUUAGCAAAUUCGAUUUUGAUUUUUGAAACUACAGUCAGUUUUAAAGGCAUUCUUAAAUGUAUCACUCCUUACAUUGUACAUUCUUUUCUGCUAAGAACAACAUAAAAUCUGAACUUUUAAAUCAGAGAAAAUUUCAUGAUUUGGGUGUAUUACUAUCUACAUUUUUACAAGUUCAAUUGCUGAUUCAAACAUGUUUUAUAUAUUCAGUUACAAAAAAUAAAAUUUUAAGCCUCUAGGCAAAACUGUUCAAUUAGCAUCUUCUCUAUGUUUUAUGGGUAACCUAGCUUUAUUUUGAGGAGGCCUAGCUUUAUUUUGGAUGUGUACAUAGAAAUACGUCUGCUCUGAUGAUUUAAUGCAGAAAUAGCAAUUUAUUUUUAAGUUCUACUGGAAAUUGCUAACUUAGAAGUUUAUAAUGACAAAUAGAUAAAAGUAUUUCUGCUUCCUUUGUCACCACUGAUCUUGUGCAAUGUGUUAGUCAAUAGGUAGUUACAACCAGUGAACAUUUGGGAAGUAUCAAGUGCUACAAGUUUUAGAUUUAAUGAAUUUUUAUUUAAAUAGCUGCAAGUAACUAGUGAUUACCAUAUUUGUCAUCAUCAUUGCUCUACAGCAUCACAACUGAUACAUGCAUCAGAAACUUCUCCAAGGGCUUAUUUUUUUUCUUUCUUUCUUUUUUUUUCCUCCAAGAGCUCACUUCCUAACACAGCAGCUGAUCCUCUAAGAGGUUUUAUGUCCGGAAAGUGUGUUACUGGUUUCAUAUGUAGACAGGCCUUGGUGUCCAGAUGAAAUAAAAAGCCCUUUAAGAUACUUUUAGUUCUCAUGGGUUGGAAAGUAUUGUUCUAGAGUAAAGGGAAAUUAAGGAUAAGAAUAGUAAAGAGCAAAAUUAGUUAGCUGUAUGGAAGCAUGAACCACCAGAUAAAAGUACUAAAGGAUGAAAGGCUCUGAGUCCUGGGCCUCAGGGAGACAGGUGCAUGACCUGGUGUGUAACUCCUUUUCUCAUUCUGGACACUAUUGUUUGUCACCAGUUUCUAAAUUCCUACUACUUAGGGACCCUUUCCUUUAAGGAAAUGAAGUUUAGUUUCUGUUUUACACAACUAGGAAAUUUUAAAAAUGAAAACUCAGUUAUUUUCAUUAGAGGUCAUACCCAAUGACAUAUUUUUACAUAUUUUUUGUCAAUAUGUAGUUGCAGAAUAACUUGAUUAGAAAAUGAAUGCCCUAAUUUAGUCUUUAGAUACAAAGAGACCUUCAUGAUUCUUGGGAGCUGUACUCCUUGAUCUCUCCUCUAGCUCCAUUCCUUUUGGAGGGGCUGCAUACCACAGCUACAGAUCAAGGCUGAUAUUGAUAUUACUUUCUAUUAACUUGGUCACUCAAAUCUGCAAUCUCAAUUAAAGCAACAUGCUUGUUACUGCAACAUGGAGACACAUCUCUUAGGAUCUUGGUUUGCGAUCCCAAACAGCUCCAAUUUAGAAGUUCUAAAACUUCAUCUGUCUGGCAGGAGGAGAAAAAUGUAACUGUAGAAUCAUCUUGCCCAUAAUUAAAUGCCAAUUCGAUAUUAUGGGUCUGGAAAAUAAUAUAAUUUGUGAUUCUUUACUUGGUUUUACUUCCAAAAGAUGUGGACAAUGAAAGGAGAAGCAUUUCUUUUAGAACUAAAGCAAGUCCUGAAUUCAGGAAAGAAAAUGCUAAGUCAUGUUGGUCUUCUAAUAACAUGCUUAUUGUUUCAUAUUCUCCAUAAUCCUUCCAGCUCUUAACAUAGGAUACUAUUUCAAGUUAUUUCCCCACAUGGCAUUAAAAGAAGUUCCUCAGGUACUAGAGCUUGAUAUUCUAAACAGGUAGAUUGUUUUUCAGAACGAUGGUAAACAUUGGCUGAGAAAGUAAUUGUAAUGCAGGCUGUACCACUUAGUGGUCAGUUAUGUUCCGCCUUGUAAUUGGUAAGACAUCCUAGGUCAUUCCCAGAGCAGCACAGCUGCUAACCUCCACACAUCCUUGCUACAUGGUUAAUUGUUUGAACAGUGCAUGGUGUAUUUUUCUGUUUGGGAGAAGGGAAACAUCUGCCCAGACCCAAGUCCUGUCUUCAUUUUUAGAAAGGCAAUGAAGCACAGAGACUGGAAAGCCACUCGCCAGGCAUCCGUGGAGACAGAUGUUGCCAUCUUCCUAUUGCACUGACAUUUACCUGAAUG